Molecule: ribosomal RNA, 253 nt
Filed under: uncultured bacterium
Lineage: Bacteria
Description: partial 16S ribosomal RNA
Rfam family: Bacterial small subunit ribosomal RNA
Source: RNAcentral
GACAGAGGGGGCAAGCGUUGCUCGGAAUUACUGGGCGUAAAGGGCGCGUAGGCGGGCUGGCAAGUCGGUCGUGAAAGCCUUCGGCUCAACCGAAGAACGUCGGCCGAUACUGCCGUUCUUGAGGGAUGCAGAGGGGACUGGAAUUCCCGGUGUAGCGGUGAAAUGUGUAGAGAUCGGGAGGAACACCGGUGGCGGAGGCGGGUCUCUGGGCAUCUCCUGACGCUGAGGCGCGAAAGCGUGGGGAGCAAACGGG